GGGGUUAUGGCUUAGUGGUAGAGCGCUCACCUCGCACGUGCGAGACCCUGGGUUCGAUCCUCAGCCCCA
RNAcentral lists this transfer RNA (69 nucleotides) under Marmota monax (woodchuck). It matches the Rfam family "tRNA". Rfam says of the family: Transfer RNA (tRNA) molecules are approximately 80 nucleotides in length. Their secondary structure includes four short double-helical elements and three loops (D, anti-codon, and T loops). Further hydrogen bonds mediate the characteristic L-shaped molecular structure. tRNAs have two regions of fundamental functional importance: the anti-codon, which is responsible for specific mRNA codon recognition, and the 3' end, to which the tRNAs corresponding amino acid is attached (by aminoacyl-tRNA synthetases). tRNAs cope with the degeneracy of the genetic code in two manners: having more than one tRNA (with a specific anti-codon) for a particular amino acid; and 'wobble' base-pairing, i.e. permitting non-standard base-pairing at the 3rd anti-codon position. The record is from Rfam by way of RNAcentral. Lineage: Eukaryota; Metazoa; Chordata; Mammalia; Rodentia; Sciuridae.